UCCUGAAUCAGCGGCGGACGGGUGAGUAAUGCCUAUCGAUCUGCCUGGUAGUGGGGGACAACGUUUCGAAAGGAACGCUAAUACCGCAUACGUCCUACGGGAGAAAGCAGGGGACCUUCGGGCCUUGCGCUAUCAGAUGAGCCUAGGUCGGAUUAGCUAGUUGGUGAGGUAAUGGCUCACCAAGGCGACGAUCCGUAACUGGUCUGAGAGGAUGAUCAGUCACACUGGAACUGAGACACAUCCACACUCCUACGGGAGGCAGCAGUGGGGAAUAUUGGACAAUGGGCGAAAGCCUGAUCCAGCCAUGCCGCGUGUGUGAAGAAGGUCUUCGGAUUGUAAAGCACUUUAAGUUGGGAGGAAGGGUUGUAGAUUAAUACUCUGCAAUUUUGACGUUACCGACAGAAUAAGCACCGGCUAACUCUGUGCCAGCAGCCGCGGUAAUACAGAGGGUGCAAGCGUUAAUCGGAAUUACUGGGCGUAAAGCGCGCGUAGGUG
Molecule: ribosomal RNA, 495 nt
Filed under: Pseudomonas sp. 18.2
Lineage: Bacteria; Pseudomonadati; Pseudomonadota; Gammaproteobacteria; Pseudomonadales; Pseudomonadaceae
Description: bacterial SSU rRNA
Rfam family: Bacterial small subunit ribosomal RNA
Source: RNAcentral